This 496-nucleotide ribosomal RNA is filed under the name uncultured bacterium. RNAcentral's name for it is "partial 16S ribosomal RNA". It matches the Rfam family "Bacterial small subunit ribosomal RNA", at positions 28 to 506 of the family's 1533-position model. The record is from RNAcentral.
GAUGAACGCUGGCGGCGUGCCUAAUACAUGCAAGUCGAGCGAACAGACGAGGAGCUUGCUCCUCUGACGUUAGCGGCGGACGGGUGAGUAACACGUGGAUAACCUACCUAUAAGACUGGGAUAACUUCGGGAAACCGGAGCUAAUACCGGAUAAUAUAUUGAACCGCAUGGUUCAAUAGUGAAAGACGGUUUUGCUGUCACUUAUAGAUGGAUCCGCGCCGCAUUAGCUAGUUGGUAAGGUAACGGCUUACCAAGGCAACGAUGCGUAGCCGACCUGAGAGGGUGAUCGGCCACACUGGAACUGAGACACGGUCCAGACUCCUACGGGAGGCAGCAGUAGGGAAUCUUCCGCAAUGGGCGAAAGCCUGGCGGAGCAACGCCGCGUGAGUGAUGAAGGUCUUCGGAUCGUAAAACUCUGUUAUUAGGGAAGAACAAAUGUGUAAGUAACUAUGCACGUCUUGACGGUACCUAAUCAGAAAACCACGGCUAACUACGU